RNAcentral lists this ribosomal RNA (1162 nucleotides) under Citrobacter freundii. Its description in RNAcentral is "partial 23S ribosomal RNA". It matches the Rfam family "Bacterial large subunit ribosomal RNA", at positions 1659 to 2801 of the family's 2925-position model. Lineage: Bacteria; Pseudomonadati; Pseudomonadota; Gammaproteobacteria; Enterobacterales; Enterobacteriaceae. The record is from RNAcentral.
ACAGGUGGUCAGGUAGAGAAUACCAAGGCGCUUGAGAGAACUCGGGUGAAGGAACUAGGCAAAAUGGUGCCGUAACUUCGGGAGAAGGCACGCUGAUAUGUAGGUGAAGUGAUUUACUCAUGGAGCUGAAAUCAGUCGAAGAUACCAGCUGGCUGCAACUGUUUAUUAAAAACACAGCACUGUGCAAACACGAAAGUGGACGUAUACGGUGUGACGCCUGCCCGGUGCCGGAAGGUUAAUUGAUGGGGUUAUCCGUAAGGAGAAGCUCUUGAUCGAAGCCCCGGUAAACGGCGGCCGUAACUAUAACGGUCCUAAGGUAGCGAAAUUCCUUGUCGGGUAAGUUCCGACCUGCACGAAUGGCGUAAUGAUGGCCAGGCUGUCUCCACCCGAGACUCAGUGAAAUUGAACUCGCUGUGAAGAUGCAGUGUACCCGCGGCAAGACGGAAAGACCCCGUGAACCUUUACUAUAGCUUGACACUGAACACUGGUCCUUGAUGUGUAGGAUAGGUGGGAGGCUUUGAAGUGUGGACGCCAGUCUGCAUGGAGCCAUCCUUGAAAUACCACCCUUUAAUGGCUGGUGUUCUAACGUGGACCCGUUACCCGGGUUGCGGACAGUGUCUGGUGGGUAGUUUGACUGGGGCGGUCUCCUCCUAAAGAGUAACGGAGGAGCACGAAGGUUAGCUAAUCCUGGUCGGACAUCAGGAGGUUAGUGCAAAGGCAUAAGCUAGCUUGACUGCGAGAGUGACGGCUCGAGCAGGUGCGAAAGCAGGUCUUAGUGAUCCGGUGGUUCUGAAUGGAAGGGCCAUCGCUCAACGGAUAAAAGGUACUCCGGGGAUAACAGGCUGAUACCGCCCAAGAGUUCAUAUCGACGGCGGUGUUUGGCACCUCGAUGUCGGCUCAUCACAUCCUGGGGCUGAAGUAGGUCCCAAGGGUAUGGCUGUUCGCCAUUUAAAGUGGUACGCGAGCUGGGUUUAGAACGUCGUGAGACAGUUCGGUCCCUAUCUGCCGUGGGCGCUGGAGAAUUGAGGGGGGCUGCUCCUAGUACGAGAGGACCGGAGUGGACGCAUCACUGGUGUUCGGGUUGUCAUGCCAAUGGCAUUGCCCGGUAGCUAAAUGCGGAAGAGAUAAGUGCUGAAAGCAUCUAAGCACGAAACUUGCCCCG